Phyllopteryx taeniolatus (common seadragon) is the source of this 9720-nucleotide RNA transcript. It is a transcript of the gene named activin A receptor like type 1, with no coding region annotated. The transcript is spliced from 6 exons. The record is from RefSeq and is a predicted model, not a curated record. Lineage: Eukaryota; Metazoa; Chordata; Actinopteri; Syngnathiformes; Syngnathidae.
CAGACUGUGAGGGGAGCAAGGGUGGUUGCCACUGUCUGUUUCUUUGGCUUAAUCCUUAAAUCUUCUGUAAUCGGGAUGAGAAGGAGAGAGCAUGCUGCCUGACUUAGGACUGCACAGUCUAUGUUAGGACCUGCAAGGACAGAAAACCUAACUGGUCAUUACAAGAGAUGGAGGGAGGGGGCAGAGUAGAGCCACAGUCACUUUGGGGAACUUAAACCUAACCCGUUUCUUAAAAGAGGAGAGUCGAGCACAACGAGAUGCUUUUCAGCCAUCAACACAGAGGAAAAAGAAGAGGACUCUCUCUGGUUGGAUUCUUUUAGGAUGAGAAUGGUGCACAGAAGACAAUACACCCUGCUGUGAUCCCGGCAGAAGGAGCCGGGCGGUAGGGGGCUCAUGGCCUCGACAUGUGACGAUCCCCGCUUGGGCGCGGGCCCAUCUGAGGAUUCUGAGAUGAAUCUGGAUGAUUCCGACUCUGGAAGUGUCCUUUCUGAUGACUCAACGCUUCCUAACUUUGAGAGAGAUGACAAGUAUGCAGAGCCUCCUAAGACACUAUAUGUGGCAUGUGUUCGGAAUGAUCCCAUCUCCCUGCGAAGGAUACUGGAGCGAGGCGUUACCAAGGAAGAGGCCAUGGAGCUGGACAUUAACAGCAGGAGUGGACUGAUGGUGGCUGUGAGCAAAGGAUUUGUGGACAUCGUCACUACGCUGCAUGUAUGCCCUCUAAUAGACGUAAACCACCAAGACAAUGAUGGGAACUCUGCACUUAUGAUUGCAGCCCAAGCUGGCUUCGUCACUAUUCUAAACUACAUUCUCAAUUACUACUCUGCUGUGGACACUGAGGUCAGGGAUCCCCGUGGCUUUACUGCCCUGAUCAAGGCAGGCCUGCAGGGCAGAGAGGACUGCGUGUCGGCGUUGCUCAUGCAUGGUGCCGAUAUGAAUGCAAUGGACUAUGUUCAAGGGCGCGGCCUGAAAGAUUGGGUUUUGAAGACAGGAAGAUUUGAGACAUUGAACAGAAUACGUUAUCUGCAGGCUCAUCCUGUCGCUGAACAGUUUUGUGCCAGCUACGCACCUGAGUGGCCAGAGCUCAAGCAGCUGGUGGCAAAGGCCACCGCCACCAAAACCACGGGUCAGAAACUGCGGCAGCGCUUAAACGAUAGCUUCACUUUCAGCUUCCCUCAGGACCCCCAAGACAACGGGGUGAUGGACCACAUGGUGCGUAUGACCACAAGCAUCCACAGCCCCUUUGUAGCCACCGCUUGCCAUCCGCUGUGUCCCAGCAGCCCCCCAGAAAUUGGGAAGAGGCGCUUUGCUCUUCCCGAACUACUUGAGAAGCACAGCAACAAGGAGCUGGAGGAAAGCACAGUGUCUCACAGCAACGGAUCCCUCGCAUCCUAUUCUCCCAGCGCUGCAUCAGUCGCCUCGGUAUCCCUGACCUCCUGCUGCCAGGAGGCAGAGCGCAGGGAGAGCGCCCCACCCGGGAGCAUGAGAGGCUUUAUUCCCCGCAGCAUGGCGCACAGGAACAGCAUCUUCCCCUCUGGCUGUGUUCCGAAAAUUGAAGUGACCAAAUCUGGCGAGCCUACGCCGAAGAAAGAGAAGAAGAAGAAAAGGCAGAAGGGCUACCUGGAGCCUCCUGUGUGGAAGUACAAGGAGGCCAAGGAGGAAAAAAAGAGGGAGAAGAAGCAAAAGGAAAAGGAAAAGGAAUUAGAGCAAGAGAGAAUAUCCAAGGGGUCCAAAAAAUAGAAACUAAACAUGACCCAAAUUGAGCGUUUCCAAAGAAGAUUGUUGAUUCUGUGGAAGACUAUUUUGACACAAAGUUCGUGUAUGAGCUGAUGGCGUAAAUAUGCAAUUUUCCAAUUAGGUUUUAGCCAUUUAUAUACUGUAGGGUGAUAAAACAUAAAGGAGUAGUAGUAAAAGUGUCACUUGCUGCUGCACUGGCAUUAUUUUACCAAGUUAAAGUCCCUGUAAAGUGAACAUAAAUGUCUUCUAAAUUUGACGCACAACAGAGAGAGGUGUCAUUAACAACCCUGACAAAUUUGAAUGGUUCAAACAAAUUGCCAAUAUACAAAUUUAAACUUCAAAAUCGGGAAAAAUCAAGCUUUUAUUCCCGCUCUCAAACUCUGUGGCCAUGUCUGCUGAAUGCAUCAAACAAUGUCCUGCUGAAAAAGGGAUUCUACUUCAUUCAGCAACAUCCUGAGCUAUACACAUUCCGUCAUGUUUGAUGUAUGAAAGUGUAUCUGGGAGGUGCUACUCACCAGAUUCAGCAGCUUGCAAGCUAAGAGGAUUCCAGGGCUCCUCUUGGUCGGCGGAUGGACGCCAGGCUAGUCUGCGGCGUCACCUCCUCACUUGGAAUUUAAGCUGUUCUGUAAAUUGUGACAGCCAGGGAAGAUGCAUAUUCGAGGUCUAGGCAUAGCUAGCUAGCUAACUGCACGCUGUAGUGUUUGAAAUUAUACAGUGGCGUAGGGGCGGCUCAUGUCCCCGAGCGCCUCACUUGGUGCUGAUUCAGCCACGCCCCAAAAAAUCAGGAAAACUAAAAUGGUGAAAACCGGUUUAACGCUAUAUCUCCACGAUUACUUCAUAGUUCCGUCUUUUCACGUUUACAGAAAUUAUCUUCAAACGUGUAUAAUAUAUUUACAAACAAAAUCUCUCAAUUCACUUUACAGGUUCUUUAAGCAUUUGGAUCAAAAUCACCAUUUUGACCUGUAAUAAUGAGGUCAUAUUUGGGCAUAUUAACCCUAACCCAGGUGCAUUUUGUGUCCUCAUGACAGGACUUUUAUCACUUUUCUCAGGGAGUUACAUCCAUUAGUUUUCACUGAAUCUUAGGUUUUCUAUGCUACCACUGAAAGAUAUCUCUAACUCAAACAUACUGUGUGUCCAUCUUAUUAAAUGGAGACAAUUAUUCCAAACAUCAUCGGUCAGACUGCGUUUCUCUUCCUCUAGCUAAGAAUUCCAUUACCGUAAUGUGUUGAAUGUGGUGACAUAAUACAUAAAGGCAAUGUAUAGUUCCCACUUCCUGGAACAAGACUAUAUUUUCCAAAGCUAUCUCCACAAUCGUGAACUUAAAAAAGUUGACUGUUUCAUAGAAAUUCUGAAAAGAAUUAAUGUACAGUACAUAGCAGUCAAUGACUGCGGAUGAUGUUCCUCUUGUCUGACACGUAACCUUAGCUACUUACUCACUGACAAUUAAGUUUCACUGAGUUAUCUUAAGGCACCAAUAAUGCACUCGCUCAAGUGGCAUGCAAUGGCUUUUGAACUCUGAACCUCAGAAAUCUUUUAAUCCGAUGUGCAGGAUGGUUACGUAACAAUUAACUUCGAUUGGCUGAUUGUGUCUUCUCCGUUUGCGACGAAAGCUAAAAAACCAAAGACAUUAGUGUUGUUGUUGUGGUCAUUUAAAGACUGUUGCGUCACGUUAGAAUAUUUUUAGUAUAAUGUCUCAUUUCCUCUUCUCCAAGGGAACUUGCUGACUUUAGGUCAGCGCUGGGAUAAAUACAUCUCCGGAGUGCAGUGAAGGAGCACAUUAGAUGAGUAAAUAAGGCGUGACCUGGGUCAAGAUGGACACAAUUAGACCUGUGACCUCCUUAUAAAUGUGGCUCAAAGUUACAAAUAUACAGCUACAAUUGUACUCUCAGACCAAACAAAUAAGGCUUUUUUUUACUGAGAUGAAGCGACCUCAAAUACAGGCCUGUGUAAAAUACAAAGAACAAUGUGCUCUCUUUUUUACACGGCAGCUCAUGUGAGAGCAUCCAGCUGUCUCUGAAGCCCGAAAGCAAAAAGAUGGCAGAGCCUGAGCACAAGCGAAUUGGGGGAUGUAGAUGAAUAACAACAAAACAUUUCUUUCUGGCAUCAAAGAGCAACAGGAAAAAGUUUGACUGCCGUCAAUAAUACAGCAGAGGCAAUCACCAAUCAUAUAAGAGGUAAACCACCAUCAUUGUAUUUCGUAUACACCCUAGGAAAGUGGUUCUCAACUGUUGUGACCCCGGGACCCGCAUCUCCCCGUUUUUGCAAGCAUAUCACGAGCCAAGAUAUCUGCUAGCCCGAGGCUGAGCUGCACUGUAUUUGUUUACAUGUUCGUAGAGGUGUGAGGAAGGUACAGUCUUCUCCCACCAUUUGUUGGGGAUAUGGACUGACCCCUGCAGCGAAUAGAGCUGUAAUCCGCUACAUGCGGAACGUCACAUGAUCAAACCCGAAAAACGGUUUAGCUGACAUCCUGUGUAUGCUACACUACGAGCACUGGUUUGAUGCCAGGAUUGUUUUGAAGCCGAACUUGAUAACAUUUUGUUUUCUUUAUGGCUUUCUUUAUACAAAUGAGAUAUGCUGUAUGUAAACAUGAAUCAAACCUAAACUUCGGCUAUUGUCAUCUUCGGUGGCUCUAUGAUGACAUCUGUUGUUAAAAAAGACAUUGUAGACAUUUAAAGUUCCCACGGGUGCUAUAUUACGGUCCCCUUCACCAUUUACCAGAGCAGAGAGGAAGUGAUUUUACCUAUUUUGCCAAAUCCGGAAGUAUGUUGCAAAUACUGGAUGGCUCAUAAUUGCUGCAAAGCACUAUUUGAAGCUAUACAACUUACUUCAACAUAGUUCCAUGACAACAUGAUUCCACAAGAUGGUGCCAAAACAUCCAUCCAUCCAUUUUCCAAACAGCUUAGCCUAACUAGGGUCACGGGCGUGCUGGAGUCUAUCCCAGCUAUCUUCGGGCGUGAGGCGAGGUAUACCCUGGGCUGGUCGCCAGCCAAUCGCAGGGCACAUAGAAACAAACAACCAUACGCACUCACAUUCACACCUACGGAGAAUUUAGUGUCUUCAAUUAACCUACCAUGCAUGUUUUUUUGGGAUGUGGGAGGAAACCGGAGUACCCGGGUAAAACCCACGCAGGCACAGAGAGAACAUGCAAACUCAGAACUGUGAGGCAGAUGCGCUAACCAGUCGACCACCGUGCUGCCGGUACCAAAUCAAUACUUUUAUAUUCGACAGUGCUGAAUAGCUAGGGUUUUCAGCAAACAAUUCCAUUGCAACAUGCUGGCAAUUUUUUUUGUUUUGAGUUUGUUGUCACAUUUCUGUCGGGCCAAUUAUUAUUAUUAUUACUCGUGCACUCAUUGUAGUAGUCUCGCCACGCUGCACUAUUUGCGUAUCUGUUGUUGACCAAUACUGGCCACUCAUGCCAGAGUAGCAUCUGCUCCAUUUGCACACUGACUGAGGAGAAUCUGCAACAAUUGCACAAUCAACAUUGUCCCAGAUUAUUGCACUACUCGCUUGAAGUCUCGGCGCCCUUUGCACAAUGGUCAUUGCACCGGACUAUUGCAAUAUUAGUCAUUCGAACUGCUCUGCAUCUUUUUGCACAAUUGUCAAAAAAAAAAAAAAAAAAAGUACCGGCAUUACCAGAUAACUAGCAACCCUUUAUUGCUCAGUGACUGUUUUUUUGUUAUUUGUGUCAAUGUCUUUAUGUCUCAAAAUUGUCUGUUGUCGUACUAGAGCGGCUCCAAUUACCGGAGACAAAUUCCUUGUGUGUUUUAUGGACAUACAUGCCAAAUAAAGAUGAUUCUGAUUCUGAUUCUGAAAUAACGGAGCAGAGGUUAAAAAAAACAACUUUGAAUAGGUGAAUCCACAAGAUUUGAAUCAAAAAUAUAUGAGGAAACACUUUACACUUCGUGUCCCUUACCUAAUAUGUUCUGUGUUCUUGGUAUGCUUCUAAACCGUACGGGAAAAUAUAAAUAUAGUGGUGCCUUGAGAAAUGAGUGACUAGACUAACAACUUUGAGGAAGGUCUGCUUCGCUUAAUGCUAACAAACAAUACGGGCCAUAGAGGUGUUAACAAGCAGCACUGGUGCCGCUCUGUUAUAACCCUUUAAGCAACGGAUAUUUGAAAACAAACAAGUUGAAAAUCACUGCCGUAUGAGAUGUUCAAUAAGACUAUCAGGCUGCAACGAUAGGAUAAGGUCCCUCAUUCGAAUGAUGUGGAAAAUCCAAAUUGAAGAAAGGGAGACCUUUUUGAGAUUUCAACUUCUGAUACAACCACACAACAUUUUAACUUAAUGGGAUCUCAAUAGAAAUGUGUGUGGUGGACUCAGAAGAGAGACAACAGUGCAAAUGUCCAAAGUAUCAUCCUCUGGUGGGAUCCGGUAAUGCCGAGUUUGGAUUUAUACACCGUCAGAGUGAGCAUAAUAACUGAGCGAUAUCAUAUUUUGAAAUCUUUGAAACUGCAACCACUGCAAACUACAUUUCUGAUUCUGUCAAUCAAAACUCAGUAUUCUUAUCGGUGUAAAAGCAGAAUUGCUACAACUCUUUUAUUAGAUUUCCAAAUAGUUUCCAUUGAGUCCGGUUUAUUGUUAUUGCUAUUUUGGCCUUUUACUAAACUAAACAAAGCAAAUAUAAAAUGUUCUAAAGCUCGAUGUUGUGUCCCUGUGUGUGUUCGUGUGCGAGUGAUACCUGGAUUUCCUUUUUUUGCACUUUCAAACUGAUCUUGAAACUCUGCCCACUAAUCUUGAAAGCGCCAAAAUGUAACUGUCAGAUUUUCCAUUGCGAUAAAGAUUACAUGUCCUAAUUGCUUAGAACAAUUUUUUUUUCCUCUGUCUCCUCUCUCUCUCUCUCUCUAAAGGAGAAAUGUUUGAAAUAUGAAAACGAAUAGUAACAAAUAAAAGGGGGUUGGAGGGGUCUUUGAAGAACAUUCCUGUCAGUGUGCAGUGCGGGCUCAGUCCACAGGGGAAAAGGGAAAAUGAGAGGUUUAGCAACAGGAAAACCGCUAUGAGAACAUUCCAGGCAGAGCAGAGUUGAGUUGAGCGGGACAAUGAGGGGUGGGACAAAACUGUACACUAAGUAAAAAAAAAAAAAAAAAAAAAAAAAAAAAAGUAAUCUUGCCUUUUGAUCACGGUCAGACAUCAACAAAAGGCCUCCCUUCAUGGGACAGAAUUUGUUUGAGCAGCCCUCACAGGGUGGAAGCAGUCUGGGUUUGCGCCACUGUAGAUUUGGAACGAGAUCCGAGAUGAGAUAAUCUCACACGACGGCGUCUUCGAUUAUUUUACACUUCUGGCGGGUUUAUGGACCAUUUCAAAAAAACAGCAGCUUUUGGAGGACCACUUUGUCCACAAGGAUGCGGGUUCUCUUUGGAUCAAAUAUCUUCAAUUGAGCUUUUCGCGGAGGAAGGAAAGUCGCGAAAGUCAUGGACACGUUUGUCUUGUAAACGGGGGACACUUGAAGUGGACAUGGGAGACGUGCGGUGUUCACACGCAUCACGUUAAAAGGAAUACUGAUAACAGUGAGGCCAGUUCGGGGGCUCAGAGAGGCUGCUUUGCUGUUGCAUGCCCCCACCAUCCACCACUCGAAACACACAGUCAUCCAGAUGGAAUGAGAGAUCUGCCUCCUCGAGUCUAAGCUGUCGAUGGGAGGAAGAGAUGACAAUGGAUCUUUUCCCCUUGGGUCACAGGGGUGUAGCGUUGGACAGAACGGAGACAAACAGGAGAGGGCUCAGGGAGGAAGCUCGCUGGAGUCGGAUGUCAGACCGGCCUACGAUGGAAGACACGAUUAGGGUCCCCUCCUAUGUCGGGACCCGUGAACGAUAAUGUGAUAGCGAGAUAAAUGAAACCCAGCUGUGCCCCUCCACUGAUAAUUUGAGUUUGUGGAGUUGUGUUUAUGCUAGAUUUACAGAUUUACCAGCACUGACUUGCAGACUGCAUAAUGCAGGAAGUGCUCGCUAAUGUUUGGGCCAAUAUGGUGUGUGGUUUAAAGAUUGGAGUCCAGGAGGCUCUUAACCGGAUUUGGAGGGAGUGGGGGGUGGUGGCAGGUUGGGUGUCAAGUCUAAAGAUAGUUUGUUAGGUAUUUAUCAGAUUUUCAUGUCAGGUGGAAAUGGUGUCCAGCAGGGAUUUCACAUUUGAUUUGACGCAUAUUUUAUAUAUUGUCGCUGUCGGGUAGAAAAAUGACAACUUUUCCGGAAAAAAAUGAAAAAAAACGACUGGAGAAACUGCAUAACCGAUGCGGACGAAGGAAUGUACUAUACUAUAACGUGGCAGUAUUAACUCGUAUUUUAUAUAUUGUAGAUUUAGGUCGCAAAUCCCCUCACCUCCAAAAUUAAAACUUUUCAGGAAAGUAAAAUAAAAAAAAUUACAGCUGGCUUGAGUUUCAAAACAGCGCUUUGUUCCAGUUGAUCUUCUACCUUAUGUUGCUAUUAUAUAUUGAUGCACUCUCAUAUGAACAACAGCUAGCAGCCCGAAAUUAUAUUUAGUGGCUAAUAUGCUAAAAAUUGCUACUUUAUUCGGGUGUCAUGAUUUGAAAUGAUACAAACACAAUGGUGAGUGACACACAUCCCUGGAAGCCUCAUGAACCCAAGCAAUCAUAUCCCAUUGCUUUGCACUCUGACAUGAACACAACAGCUCUAGCACCCCCAAAUUAUGUUCAAUUGCUAAUUUAACGGGGGUAUAUUUUGCCAAACCAACUUUUUCUAGUAUUUGGGAUGCAAUAUUGUCUUUUUGGUGCCUCAGUAAACAUGAAAUAUGAAUUAAUCGUCCACACAAUCCUGAGUUCCAGGCGUUUUCUGUUUUUCAUUCUAAUUUUUCUAUCUUAUCUAUGUCACUAACGAAGAUCUCCGCCAAUCUCUCCACUCCUGAGACAGCGCUGUAAACUUAACAAACACGUGCGCUCUCACAAGUGGGUCUUCUACACAGAGGCGACCAGUCAGAGGAAAGGGGGCGGGGUGAUCUGAGCUAAAUAUGGGCAAAGUGGAUACAAAACUGGGUGAAACAGAAGUAGCUGUCUUUUCUGGACACUCGUAUGACAAAACCAAUGUGUUUUUGUAAAUGAAAGUCCAUGUUAGAGAGUCACUCCACGGAGGUCUAAAUAGCCAAACCUUGCUGAAUAUGCUGGAAAAUAAUGCUGAUAAAAUACUACGGACACGGCGCCAUGAUGGCAGGUGUCCGCGGUGACAGCCAGUAGUCCAUAUUAAAGUCUGUCUGUGUCUCACAAUGCCACCAGGCACCCUACAGAAAUGCCUUCUUUGUGCUCAUUAAACGCUAACAUGAGCCAAAAAUGUCCACACUUUCAGCAAGCUCACAUAUUUUUUUCUGUUUUCAUGUACAUUGUCUGCUUGUAGUUCAUUUUCAAAAAUAAAAUACAAAUGGGGACUAUUACAUUAACUCAACUGUAGGGGAGCCCCGGAGCCAAAGACAACAAACCAUUACAAGUAAUUAUUCUUUAAAUGAUGUUGUUUUACUUGUUUUUUCUAAUCAGGCAAUUUGAUAUCAAUAGUUGAAGCAUGUGAAAGGAUCAUCCAACUGCAGCACGCUUCCGCAUUGGAUGAAGGCUGUGCUACUUGCGUGACCCCCGGCAAUGCGGCCCUAAACAAUGAGCAGCCGUUGUCUCGCCGGCCAGCCGGGUGGGGCCACUCAAUGGCAGGAAGCAUCGCCAUCAAUAUUUACACUGCAAGCGGGGCAUUUGAGGAGUCGACAGGCCUGGAGCCUGGGUAGCACAGCGCCACACGCAGUCUCAACCCACUUAUACAAACACUCUGGAGUGCUGUUACAGUCGCCUUCCCCCCAAGUCCUUUUUUUCCCAUCUAGAGUAAUUAGAACACAGGCAGACAGGCUGGGCCCACUGACCGUUGUUUUGGACCUCAUAGCUUCCCCCGUGGCUUUGUUCACCACUUUAGAUUUCAUUCACAGAGCUGCUAAAAUGUCAACAAAAUCACAAUUGGGUUUUUUAAUUGUGUCAUUUACUGUAUGAGCUGUUUUUAAUUAUUCUGUGUCUG